AAGCAUUUCAAUCUGAAGUUUCACCUCAUCACCUCAUCAGAUCUCAAAGAAAAAGUUAGUAGUAAUAAAAUUCAAUAAAUGUUAAAAUAAACAACGAGGGUAGGAAAAUGAAGGUUAAGAGACUGUCAAGAUAUUCUUACACCAGCUGGGUCUUUCUUUUCAGCUGGGUUACUGUAAAUCUCCAGCUUUCUUUUUCGUGUAAGCUUUCUUUUUUGUAUUGUCUCCCUGUCGCCCCGAUGCUUUCCAUCUGUCCUGAAAUGCGACUCCAACCUCGACCACGAAUCUAGUUUCGAACAUGGAUCCGACCUCAAUGAGCAAUCUAUCGCUGUGGUCGUCGGAUUUGCUGAGUUCCUUUCUGUCUUGCUAAACACGGCUCCGA
Molecule: long non-coding RNA, 379 nt
Filed under: Manihot esculenta (cassava)
Lineage: Eukaryota; Viridiplantae; Streptophyta; Magnoliopsida; Malpighiales; Euphorbiaceae
Description: long non-coding RNA (MESC_LNC003455)
Source: RNAcentral